ACUCUGAUCCNGCCNUGCCGCGUGCAGGAUGACUGCCCUAUGGGUUGUAAACUGCUUUUAUACAGGAAGAAACACUGCUACGUGUAGCAGCUUGACGGUACUGUAAGAAUAAGGAUCGGCUAACUCCGUGCCAGCAGCCGCGGUAAUACGGAGGAUCCAAGCGUUAUCCGGAAUCAUUGGGUUUAAAGGGUCCGUAGGUGGAUAAUUAAGUCAGAGGUGAAAGUUUGCAGCUCAACUGUAAAAUUGCCUUUGAUACUGGUUAUCUUGAAUCAUUAUGAAGUGGUUAGAAUAUGUAGUGUAGCGGUGAAAUGCAUAGAUAUUACAUAGAAUACCAAUUGCGAAGGCAGAUCACUAAUAAUGUAUUGACACUGAUGGACGAAAGCGUGGGGAGCGAACAGGAUUAGAUACCCNNG
RNAcentral lists this ribosomal RNA (413 nucleotides) under Algibacter sp. Asnod6A1. RNAcentral's name for it is "bacterial SSU rRNA". It matches the Rfam family "Bacterial small subunit ribosomal RNA", at positions 380 to 790 of the family's 1533-position model. The record is from RNAcentral. Lineage: Bacteria; Pseudomonadati; Bacteroidota; Flavobacteriia; Flavobacteriales; Flavobacteriaceae.